Molecule: ribosomal RNA, 119 nt
Filed under: Pteropus alecto (black flying fox)
Lineage: Eukaryota; Metazoa; Chordata; Mammalia; Chiroptera; Pteropodidae
Source: RNAcentral
GUCUACGGCCAUGCCACCCUGAACAAGCUGGAUCCUGUCUGAUCUCGGAAGCUAAGCAGGGUCAGGCCUGGUUAGUACUUGGAUGGGAGACCACCUAGGAAGAACAGGUGAUGUAAGUG